AUUGAACGCUGGCGGCAGGCUUAACACAUGCAAGUCGAACGAGUGGCGGACGGGUGUGUAAUGCUUGGGAAUCUAGCUUAUGGAGGGGGAUAACUACGGGAAACUGUAGCUAAUCCCGCGUACCAUAGGUUGAGCCCAAGUGGGAUUAGGUAGUUGGUGAGGUAACGGCUUACCUAGGCGAAGAUCCCUAGCGGGUCUGAGAGGAUGAUCAGCCACACAGAGACGGGUACAAGGCCCAGACUCCUACGGGAGGCAGCAGUGGGGAAUAUUGCACAAUGGGCGAAAGCCGGAUGCGGCCAUGCAGCGUGUAUGAAGAAGGCCUUCGGGUUGUAAAGUACUUUCAGUGGGGAGGCGUUACCGACAGAAGAAGCAACGGCUAACUACGUGCCAGCCGCCGCGGUAAUAC
This 406-nucleotide ribosomal RNA is filed under the name uncultured bacterium. RNAcentral's name for it is "partial 16S ribosomal RNA". It matches the Rfam family "Bacterial small subunit ribosomal RNA", at positions 30 to 526 of the family's 1533-position model. The record is from RNAcentral.